Molecule: microRNA precursor, 84 nt
Filed under: Bombyx mori (domestic silkworm)
Lineage: Eukaryota; Metazoa; Arthropoda; Insecta; Lepidoptera; Bombycidae
Description: mir-2807 microRNA precursor family
Rfam family: mir-2807 microRNA precursor family
Source: Rfam by way of RNAcentral
GUAACUCAAAUUUGUAUGCAGUUGGAACAGCGCCCCUAGCGGAAAACGUAGGCAAACGUUCCAACUCCAUACAAAUUUGAUUUA